This 253-nucleotide ribosomal RNA is filed under the name uncultured bacterium. RNAcentral describes it as "partial 16S ribosomal RNA". It matches the Rfam family "Bacterial small subunit ribosomal RNA", at positions 524 to 776 of the family's 1533-position model. The record is from RNAcentral.
UACGUAGGUGACAAGCGUUGUCCGGAUUUACUGGGCGUAAAGAGCGCGCAGGCGGUCGUUCAAGUCGAGUGUGAAAGCCCCCGGCUCAACUGGGGAGGGUCACUCGAUACUGAUCGACUUGAAGGCAGGAGAGGGAAGCGGAAUUCCCGGUGUAGUGGUGAAAUGCGUAGAUAUCGGGAGGAACACCAGUGGCGAAAGCGCUCUGCUAGGCCGCAACUGACACUGAGGGACGAAAGCUAGGGGAGCGAAUGGG